GACGAACGCUGGCGGCGUGCUUAACACAUGCAAGUCGAACGAUGAUGCCCAGCUUGCUGGGCGGAUUAGUGGCGAACGGGUGAGUAACACGUGAGUAACCUGCCCCUGACUCUGGGAUAAGCGUUGGAAACGACGUCUAAUACUGGAUAUGAUCACCGGCCGCAUGGUCUGGUGGUGGAAAGAUUUUUUGGUUGGGGAUGGACUCGCGGCCUAUCAGCUUGUUGGUGAGGUAAUGGCUCACCAAGGCGACGACGGGUAGCCGGCCUGAGAGGGUGACCGGCCACACUGGGACUGAGACACGGCCCAGACUCCUACGGGAGGCAGCAGUGGGGAAUAUUGCACAAUGGGCGAAAGCCUGAUGCAGCAACGCCGCGUGAGGGAUGACGGCCUUCGGGUUGUAAACCUCUUUUAGUAGGGAAGAAGCGAAAGUGACGGUACCUGCAGAAAAAGCACCGGCUAACUACGUGCCAGCAGCCGCGGUAAUACGUAGGGUGCAAGCGUUGUCCGGAAUUAUUGGGCGUAAAGAGCUCGUAGGCGGUCUGUCGCGUCUGCUGUGAAAUCCCGAGGCUCAACCUCGGGCUUGCAGUGGGUACGGGCAGACUAGAGUGCGGUAGGGGAGAUUGGAAUUCCUGGUGUAGCGGUGGAAUGCGCAGAUAUCAGGAGGAACACCGAUGGCGAAGGCAGAUCUCUGGGCCGUAACUGACGCUGAGGAGCGAAAGCAUGGGGAGCGAACAGGAUUAGAUACCCUGGUAGUCCAUGCCGUAAACGUUGGGCGCUAGAUGUAGGGACCUUUCCACGGUUUCUGUGUCGUAGCUAACGCAUUAAGCGCCCCGCCUGGGGAGUACGGCCGCAAGGCUAAAACUCAAAGGAAUUGACGGGGGCCCGCACAAGCGGCGGAGCAUGCGGAUUAAUUCGAUGCAACGCGAAGAACCUUACCAAGGCUUGACAUACACCGGAAACGGCCAGAGAUGGUCGCCCCCUUGUGGUCGGUGUACAGGUGGUGCAUGGUUGUCGUCAGCUCGUGUCGUGAGAUGUUGGGUUAAGUCCCGCAACGAGCGCAACCCUCGUUCUAUGUUGCCAGCGGGUUAUGCCGGGGACUCAUAGGAGACUGCCGGGGUCAACUCGGAGGAAGGUGGGGAUGACGUCAAAUCAUCAUGCCCCUUAUGUCUUGGGCUUCACGCAUGCUACAAUGGCCGGUACAAAGGGCUGCGAUACCGUAAGGUGGAGCGAAUCCCAAAAAGCCGGUCUCAGUUCGGAUUGAGGUCUGCAACUCGACCUCAUGAAGUCGGAGUCGCUAGUAAUCGCAGAUCAGCAACGCUGCGGUGAAUACGUUCCCGGGCCU
This 1342-nucleotide ribosomal RNA is filed under the name uncultured bacterium. RNAcentral describes it as "bacterial SSU rRNA". It matches the Rfam family "Bacterial small subunit ribosomal RNA", at positions 28 to 1381 of the family's 1533-position model. The record is from RNAcentral.